UGACCUUUUAUAGCAUUAUCUAAUAGCAUUUUUUUUAGGAAUGCUAUGAAAAGGAACCAAUUACAGCGUUCUGUGAUGAGAAGCAGAGGAAAAUCUUGCCCCUAAAAUACUAUAGCGUUCAUAGAAGUAUACAAUAGCGUUCUUACUUUAUUUGGCGCCCUAAAUUGCACCCCCUUCUGAAAAUUUCAUUUUUCCUCCUAAAUCAGAGGCGCAAAUAUGGUUCAUCUGCUUCUUCGGCGUUGAAACCCUAGAAAUUGGGUUUCGAUCAAAAGCCCCGCUUAUAAUUUUGCAGUUUCUUUUUCCCUCUUCCCUCUUGAAAAUAGCCAUGAUAUAUCACAACAGCCAAGCUCUCUCUGGUCUUUCUCUUUCACCUACUGUUGACGACCAAUACGCAAUGCCAGCUCUUGUUGCUUCUGCACGCUAGCUGCUCCUGCUGUCACCGAUCAUGGCUGUUUUUCACGUUCUCUCUGCCGAUCUUCGUUGGUCACUAUCCCGUGACUAGACCAUUCUUUGGUUAAGGUUUGAUUCUAAAUUUUUUUCGAUUCUCUUUCUUAAUCCUAAAUCCCAUGUGUAAAUUGCAUAAAUAUCAUGGCCUAGAAAAUUGGGAAUGUCGAUUGAGUCAUAUAGGUUGAUGUUGAUGUCGUUAUGCACGAGGGAAGGUGGAAUCUUACCUAGGUUCUCUUGACACUAGCAACACACACACAAAGCUUUCUGUCUUUUGUUUGUCGUCUAUCCAUCUACAAUUGAUAUCAAUGGGCAAAGAUUUCUAGAGUACUCUUAAAAUCAACCACUCACUUCUCUAUGCCUUACAAUUGUUCGAUGAAAUGUGUAAAUGAACUAUUUUUGACAUUCAAACAUAAAGAAAAGAGAGCUACUAUGAGUUUUUAGUUUGCUUAAUCAGCGUGUACCUUUUGUUUCAUAUUAUUGGUUCUUCUAACAUUGUCUUAUCUCUGUGAAAUAAAGUUCUGAUGACAAGGGACACAACUUAUGAAACCAUUGUCAGAAAAUAACUCCGUAAAUUAUUUACUUGGUAAAUUUCUCAGAUGUGGUCAAAUAUUGUGAAUAUUUGUUUUCUAGGGCUAGAAGGUGUUUGACAAAAAGCCUCACAUAUCCUGAUUACAAAAACUUGAUUGGUUAUCUUCCUAGUAGUAGCUUUGAUGUUUCAAAAGAUUUAGGAAGAUAGUAUUUGAUUGUCCCAUCUGGAAUGAUCAAUUAGAGUUCAAUUGCUCCUAAAGAACUGAGCAUACCUAUAAAAAUGGUUGUAGCAUAGGGGACAGAGAAAAGCAUAAAUAUAGCUUUCAAAAAGAGGAUUAACCUCACGAAAAAAUGCCCUUGUGAUCAUAUAAAUCUGCCGGACACAAUGGCUUUUGAUUAGGUUCUGAUUUUCUUCCCUCUUCUUUUUCCCCUACAUGUAUUUUCUUGCAUAGAGUUGAAAUUGUUUGAUGUUGGAGAAAUUGGGUGGUUUUCACAUUUUUUUUUUUUUUUUGGCAAACCCCUCCUUUGGCCCAAUUUUUACAUAUUGGAAUUCAAGUGUUAUAUCCCUCCUCUCCCAUUCAUUUUUCUUUUGAUUAGGAGGUCCUCAUAGACAUCAUUUUCCUCUUUAAUGAGUUUACUUGGCAAAAAUAACUCAGAAAAGAAGCGCCGAAAAUAUGGCUAUCUUGCUUAUGUCUCUUUCUUUCUUUUUUUCAAGCUAUGUUUUCUUGUCACAAAGGCUACGUAGCUUGUGCUGAAAGUCCUUUUGAAUGUUGUAUACCUGGUUACAUUAUUAUUAAGUAGCUAAUUUGUUCUGCACUUUCUUCUCCAUAUCACUACUCCUGAAUACAAGUAAAUAACCGCAAGAUGUGUAGAUUCAGGUUGGUUUGGCAUUUGUUCAGAAGAUAUGACCUUGAUUUUGAGUGUUGUUCAGUUACAACCCCUCGAAGUUGCUAGGAUUGGUCAAGUGUUGUGGCUGCAAUUGCAAUAAUUGGUGUGAGUUCAUUAAGCUUCUGUUUGCCAAAUCUCCAAAGCUGCAAGCAUGAGAAUCAAGCUGAAGUCAAUGGACAUUGCUGAAGAAUCGAGGAUUCUGAAAAAGUUGAUAGGAUAUCGACGUGCAUCGGUUCGUGGAGUAAUCACUUUCCCAAAAUAAAGGUAUAUGAACAUCAAGUUCAUCAGCUUACUUACCUCCUGGAGUUACUUUUGUUUUGGCUGUCU
This is a long non-coding RNA of Rhododendron vialii, 2190 nucleotides long. RefSeq lists it as uncharacterized. The transcript is spliced from 3 exons. The record is from RefSeq and is a predicted model, not a curated record. NCBI's taxonomy places the organism in Eukaryota, Viridiplantae, Streptophyta, Magnoliopsida, Ericales, Ericaceae.